Molecule: ribosomal RNA, 785 nt
Filed under: Pleurothyrium poeppigii
Lineage: Eukaryota; Viridiplantae; Streptophyta; Magnoliopsida; Laurales; Lauraceae
Description: eukaryotic LSU rRNA
Rfam family: 5.8S ribosomal RNA (bases 319-474)
Source: RNAcentral
GUCCACUGAACCUUAUCAUUUAGAGGAAGGAGAAGUCGUAACAAGGUUUCCGUAGGUGAACCUGCGGAAGGAUCAUUGCCGUCUCUGGAACCACCACCUGCGAACCGGUACCCGCGGAAGCGCCGCUCGCGGCGCGCGGCCCCGGGGGAGGACCCGGGGACGCGCGUCCCGGCGAGCUACGAACAACCCUCUGGGCGCGGCGAGCGCCAAGGAAUCGAAGCGGAAAGGGCGGCCGCCCCGCCCGGUGCGGGCACGCGCCGGAAGGCGAUGCGGCACCGCGGCCGGGGACCCGCCGCCCGUCUGUGAAGUCUCUUAGACGACUCUCGGCAACGGAUAUCUCGGCUCUCGCAUCGAUGAAGAACGUAGCGAAAUGCGAUACUUGGUGUGAAUUGCAGAAUCCCGUGAACCAUCGAGUCUUUGAACGCAAGUUGCGCCCGAGGCCAUCCGGCCGAGGGCACGCCUGCCUGGGCGUCACGCCACCCCUCGCCCCCCCCGCGGCAUUCCCAUGCCCCGCCGGGGAGCGGAGACUGGCCGUCCGUGCCCGAGCCCUCGGCGCGCGGUCGGCAGAAAAGGAGGGCACCGUGCGGCGCGACACGGCGUGUGGGGGUUGAGAGGCGAUACGUCGCCGAUCGUACGUCGCGCCCGCAUUCCGCCGCUCGGUGCCGCCCGUGGGACCAGACUCCGCCCGCAGCCGCGGGCGCUCGGACCGCGACCCCAGGUCAGGCGUGGCCACCCGCUGAAUUUAAGCAUAUCAAUAAGCGGAGGAGAAGAAACUUACGAGGAUU